UGGGCUGUGAUGGGAGUGGGGCCGGAACUCUCAUGUCAUUAGGACCCGCCCCCUCAGCACGGACUUGGAUUCCUAUUACUAUUCUGCCCACUUCACUAGUAAGUGGGCAGAAUGCGGGAGAGAUGCUUACUUCUCCGGGGGUGUGGAGGGCCCAAAAAAUCUUGUGUCCCCCAGCAGAAUCUGGGAGAGUAGGCAAUUAUGAAUUAAACUAAUCACAUGAUAAGUAGACAAAGCAACAACCUGACUGCCGGACUGGUGCUCCCUUAUUCACAGUGCUGGGCACAUCUCCAAUAUAUGGCCAUAAGGAAACAGGUGAUACUGAGGAGCUAGGCUGGGAGCAUUGAUGUUUGUGAUGGCGUCCAGUGAUAUGUAGAUUCCUUUUCAACUAACUUUUCAGCAGGGGGAGCAGCCUGCCUUGCAAUGCCACUGAUUCAAAUAUAAAUAUGUCAUCAUAAACAGUA
Pseudophryne corroboree (corroboree frog) is the source of this 461-nucleotide long non-coding RNA. RefSeq lists it as uncharacterized. The transcript is spliced from 2 exons. The record is from RefSeq and is a predicted model, not a curated record. NCBI's taxonomy places the organism in Eukaryota, Metazoa, Chordata, Amphibia, Anura, Myobatrachidae.